AUUGAACGCUGGCGGCAUGCCUUACACAUGCAAGUCGGACGGCAGCACGGGAGCAAUCCUGGUGGCGAGUGGCGAACGGGUGAGUAAUAUAUCGGAACGUGCCCAGUCGUGGGGGAUAACGCAGCGAAAGCUGUGCUAAUACCGCAUACGAUCUAUGGAUGAAAGCGGGGGAUCGCAAGACCUCGCGCGAUUGGAGCGGC
Molecule: ribosomal RNA, 200 nt
Filed under: uncultured bacterium
Lineage: Bacteria
Description: partial 16S ribosomal RNA
Rfam family: Bacterial small subunit ribosomal RNA
Source: RNAcentral